This 254-nucleotide ribosomal RNA is filed under the name uncultured bacterium. Its description in RNAcentral is "partial 16S ribosomal RNA". It matches the Rfam family "Bacterial small subunit ribosomal RNA", at positions 524 to 777 of the family's 1533-position model. The record is from RNAcentral.
UACGAAGGGGGCUAGCGUUGCUCGGAAUCACUGGGCGUAAAGGGUGCGUAGGCGGGUCUUUAAGUCAGGGGUGAAAUCCUGGAGCUCAACUCCAGAACUGCCCUUUGAUACUGAAGAUCUUGAGUUCGGGAGAGGUGAGUGGAACUGCGAGUGUAGAGGUGAAAUUCGUAGAUAUUCGCAAGAACACCAGUGGCGAAGGCGGCUCACUGGCCCGAUACUGACGCUGAGGCACGAAAGCGUGGGAGCAAACAGGG